Molecule: RNA transcript, 2738 nt
Organism: Gossypium arboreum
Lineage: Eukaryota; Viridiplantae; Streptophyta; Magnoliopsida; Malvales; Malvaceae
Gene name: DNA-directed RNA polymerase III subunit 2-like
Exons: 4
Source: RefSeq, a predicted model, not a curated record
AAAGAAAAGGCAUAAUGAUAAAUUAGCCCCUAAAGUUUACUCCUUUUUCAUUAUAGCUCUAAUUUUGUUUAAGCUUUAAAUUUUAGUCAAAUUAUUUUUUGUUGAACGGAAAAGCUGAUUGAACUAUUAAAAUUUUAACAACACUGAUGUGAUAGUUUACGUGACAAUUCAUGUAUAUCUCAACAGUCAGAGCCAAGGGUGGUUGGUAGGGCUCCGGUCUUCCCUAAAAUGAAAAAUUUUCUAUUUAGGUUCUUUAUAAUUUAUAAAUUUUAAAUUAGCAAUGGCAAAAUUACACUUUGGCCCUCUCAAAAGUGAUAAAAAUUUGAUAUAGACUACCAAAAUGGUAAAUUAAAAUGGUGAAAUUGGAUGUUUAAGAUAGUAAACCUUUACAGUGGCCAUCAAAUAUGUAUAGAAAAAAAGAAUUUUCUUUUUUCUUGUGGAAAACCCAUCAGCUUAAUGUUUCUGAAUUACCAGUGGACAAACAAAAGCUUACUGCUCCAAUAAAAUCAACUGCUGACAAGUUUCAGCUUCUUCCUGAGUUUUUAAAGGUUAGAGGGUUAAUGAAGCAGCAAUUGGAUUCUUUUGAUUAUUUUGUUAAUAUUGGGAUUAAGAAGAUUGUUCGUGUCAAUGACAGGAUUGUAUCUGAUAUUGAUCCCAGUAUUUACCUCAGGUUUGAAAUGCAUUUUUUGUUUAUGUUCUUUUGGUUAUGAUUGCUGUAAAAUGUAUUUUGUAUAACUUGAUGAUGCAGGCUAGGGAUGGAAAAAAACCCAAAGCUGACUGUUCUGAUCUGACCUGAUCGGAAAAUCGGGUUUGGGGUGGGUCGGUUUUGAGGUGAACCUGCCCUGCCUGCUCUGAGAUAUUUAGCUAGCUUUUUCUUUUUCCAUUUUUUUUUGUUAGAAGCAGCACAAUGUAAUCUAUUUGCUUAACUGUUACUCAUUUGUGAUCAAUUUUUGAAGUAUUUUCGUUUUAGUAAAAUUCGAGGGAGCAAAAAGCUAGUGGUGAAUUAGUGAUGAUGACAGCCACACUGAGCUUUAGCUAUUUUACAGUCAUGAAUUAGUUUGGUUGCCUUGUAUUUUGUUCCUUGACAUUUUCUGGUUAUGAUCUAUCUGUGUGGGGAAUUUAGUUUCCUAUGGUAUAAUUUGGAUUUGGAUUUUUUUUUUUUUUUUUUUGUGUUGAUCUAGCUCAGUUGUAACUUGUGUUGCUGUGCAGGUUUAAAGAUGCUAGAAUUGGGUAUCCCUCCAAGAUGGUUGAUGGGAAUUAAUAUGCUGUUAAUCUUGUAGGUAUUCUGCACCGAUAUUUGUCAACGGAGAGUACUUUCAAGUUAGAUAUGGGCAGAAAACUAGACUAGAAAAGGUAUACAGCAGAUGCUUCUUUGAUGUGUGUAUGAUGCAGAAUGAUAGGUGCUUUGGAUGUAAUGCAAAAUCUGUUCCUAGCAGAAUAAUCUUGUUAUUGCAAAAAUGCCCAUCAUGUUAAAGAGUUAACUCUGUGCGAUAUAUGGAAAAGAUGAAGUAGAACUUACAAGGCCAUAUCCCCAUCACAAUCAGUCACCAAGAAAUAUCUACCAGUGUGCUAUGGGGAAGCAGGCAAUGGGAAAUAUUGUAUAUAACCAGACAAGCAGUAUUACUUAGUAUUCUUUAAAUUUAUUUUCCUACCUUAGAACAAAGAGUCCUUGUAUGUUACCCCUCAGUUGCUAAGUAUUUAGCCUUCAACCUUCUCAGGCGAGGCUAUUUUUAUUGCGAACUCAUCCUUGUGUGCUUUAUUGUGCAUUAGGCUUCAACACAAGGUGAUGAAAAGGCUAGCUUGACUGAAGCUGUGAAGUAACAUUUAAGUCCUUUUUAAUUUUUUAUUUUAGAACUCAAAAAUCCACUUGAAUUUAUGAAGGUUUCGUUAUAAUAAAACAAGCAUUUACUGUUUUCCACAAGUUAUGCUUAACUUGAAGUGAUUAAAUAAUCUUUUAUCCAUGAUUUUUGAGUGGUGAAGUACGAUUCUUUCCUUUUACAUUUUCACUGCUGGGAUUAUUGACAGUGACUAGCUUCAGUCUCAAAAUAACCAUCUUUUGACAUAGGUUUGCAGAAAAUGUGGUUUGUUAGGAUACUACAGCCAUAAGCUGAAAACUGGGAUUUGUUCUUCAUGUAAAAAUGGAGAUAAUGUUUCUACUAUGAAACUACUGUACGCAUGCAAGCUUUUAAUCCAGGCAAGGGCGAAGCCAGGAAACUUUGGUUGGGAGUUGAGAGUGUCAGGAUAAGAAUAUAAAUUGUUGGGGGGUCAAACUUAAAAUUUUUAUGCAAAAAAGAUUAAAGUGUAAUCCUAAAUAGUAAGAAGGGCUCAAACUGCAAUAUGCUCAUUUUAUCCCCUUUGGAUUCGCCCCUGCACACGGGUGUAGCAUGGUACUUGUUAGUUCCACUUCUGAGCACAUGUAUUCGAGAAGCAUGUAUUUCAUCUAUAUUUACUCGAACUUGGAUUAAGUGUCGGAUAUGGGAAUGUUCCGAUAUGGAUAUAUAUGUUCAACUUUUUCAAUGUUUUUUCAUGGUAUUUGGAGAGCCCUUGGAGGGUGUUAUAUCCUCGUAUCCAUGUCCAGAUAUGAGUUAGACAUGGAGUACUUCAAGAAAACCGAAGCGUAAGAGCAACAUAUUAUUUCUUAAGUUUGUUGUUUGCUAUGGUUAUUCAAGUUGUUGUAAAUUGUAAUUCAUUCAUGAAUUGGUUCGAUAUCCUUUUUCUCUAUAGAAUUUCUUUUGCUA